UAGGGAAUCUUCGGCAAUGGGGGCAACCCUGACCGAGCAACGCCGCGUGAGUGAAGAAGGUUUUCGGAUCGUAAAGCUCUGUUGUAAGAGAAGAACGUGUGUGAGAGUGGAAAGUUCACACAGUGACGGUAACUUACCAGAAAGGGACGGCUAACUACGUGCCAGCAGCCGCGGUAAUACGUAGGUCCCGAGCGUUGUCCGGAUUUAUUGGGCGUAAAGCGAGAGCAGGCGGUUUAAUAAGUCUGAAGUUAAAGGCAGUGGCUUAACCAUUGUUCGCUUUGGAAACUGUUAAACUUGAGUGCAGAAGUGGAGAGUGGAAUUCCAUGUGUAGCGGUGAAAUGCGUAGAUAUAUGGAGGAACACCGGUGGCGAAAGCGGCUCUCUGGUCUGUAACUGACGCUGAGGCUCGAAAGCGUGGGGAGCAAACAGG
This 429-nucleotide ribosomal RNA is filed under the name bacterium. RNAcentral describes it as "partial 16S ribosomal RNA". It matches the Rfam family "Bacterial small subunit ribosomal RNA", at positions 355 to 776 of the family's 1533-position model. The record is from RNAcentral.